CCCUUAGAUGUUCUGGGCCGCACGCGCGCUACACUGACGAAUGCAACGAGCUUAUAACCUUGGCCGAAAGGUCUGGGUAAUCUCCAAAUUUCGUCGUGAUGGGGAUAGAUUAUUGCAAUUAUUAAUCUUCAACGAGGAAUGCCUAAUAAGCGCAAGUCAUCAGCUUGCGUUGAUUACGUCCCUGCCCUUUGUACACACCGCCCGUCGCUCCUACCGAUUGAAUGGUCCGGUGAAGCGUUCGGACCGUGGCCUUUGGACGGUUCGCCGUCUGUUGGCUGCGGGAAGUUCGUUAAACCUUAUCAUUUAGAGGAAGGAGAAGUCGUAACA
Molecule: ribosomal RNA, 327 nt
Filed under: uncultured eukaryote
Lineage: Eukaryota
Description: partial 18S ribosomal RNA
Rfam family: Eukaryotic small subunit ribosomal RNA
Source: RNAcentral